UCCACAGAAGCUGGUGUUUGAGAACAGCAACCAUGGCCCCUCUGCUCUGCUUGCUCUUCCUGCUAGCAACUCCAACAGGUGUCCGGUCCCAAAUCCAGUUUAUUCAGUCUGGGGCAGAAAUUAAAAAGCCUGGAGAAUCCGUGAAGCUCACCUGCAAAGCAUCCGGUUACACAUUUACUGACUACUCCAUAAGCUGGGUCCGACAGGCUCCGGGGAAAGGUCUGGAGUGGGUAGCAACGAUUAGGACUGACAAUUUCAACACUUUCUAUCCUGAGGCUCUGAAAGGGCGAACCACCAUCAGCGUGGACACCUCCAUCAGCACAACGUAUCUCCAGAUGAACAGCCUGAAAACUGAAGACACUGCUGUGUAUUACUGUGCAAGACACAGUGUCUGGUCACAAAUCCAGUUAAUCCAGUCUGGAGCAGAAGUUAAAAAGCCAGGAGACUCUGCAAAACUCUCCUGCAAAGUGUCUGGCUACACGUACACUAGCCACGCUGUCCCAGGGGUGAAGGCUCAAAUCCAGCUGGUCCAGCCUGGUGCAGAGGUGAAGAAGCCGGGGGAGUCUGUGAAGGUGUCCUGUCAUUCCAAGCCAUCGUACAAGAACUGGGGGCAGUCAAAGAAAUUGAAAAGGUGA
Non-coding RNA from Gopherus evgoodei (Goodes thornscrub tortoise), 635 nucleotides. The record is from the annotation of a RefSeq genome assembly. NCBI's taxonomy places the organism in Eukaryota, Metazoa, Chordata, Testudines, Testudinidae.